GAUGAAGAACGCAGCGAAAUGCGAUACGUAAUGUGAAUUGCAGAAUUCAGUGAAUCAUCGAAUCUUUGAACGCACAUUGCACUCCUUGGUAUUCCGAGGAGUAUGCCUGUUUCAGUAUCAUGAGCACUCUCACAUCUAACCUUUGGGUUAAAAUGUGGAAUUGGGAUGCGCCGGUUAUUAUAACGGCCCUCCUAAAAUUCAGUUCUUGGCUACUUCCUACUACAGCAGUUUGGCCUAAUAGUUUUGAGUCUUCGAUUCAAAUCUUUGGCUAACAUUUGCUUCAGGAUGUCAGUCUUGAUAUACAGAAAUCUCAUUCAAACUUUGAUCUGAAAUCAGGUAGGGCUACCCGCUGAACUUAAGCAUAUCAAUAAGCGGAGGA
RNAcentral lists this unclassified non-coding RNA (379 nucleotides) under soil metagenome. RNAcentral describes it as "partial contains 5.8S ribosomal RNA, internal transcribed spacer 2, and large subunit ribosomal RNA". The stretch from base 1 to 120 matches the Rfam family "5.8S ribosomal RNA", at positions 35 to 154 of the family's 154-position model. The record is from RNAcentral.